GAGGGUAUAGCUCAAGUGGUAGAGUGCAUGCUUAGCAUGCACAAAGUCCUGGGUUCAAUUCCCGGUACCUUCU
This 73-nucleotide transfer RNA is filed under the name Camelus bactrianus (Bactrian camel). It matches the Rfam family "tRNA". Rfam says of the family: Transfer RNA (tRNA) molecules are approximately 80 nucleotides in length. The record is from Rfam by way of RNAcentral. Lineage: Eukaryota; Metazoa; Chordata; Mammalia; Artiodactyla; Camelidae. RNAcentral also lists the same sequence under 2 other names.